CACCAAGCCCACCAUCCCCACACAUCGCGUGCCUUGGAUCGCGCCAUUGCCCUGCUCCCGUCGUUGUUCCCUUUCCCAUCCACCGCUGCUGUCCAUCGCAUCCAGCCUCUUUAACAUCCCAUCGGCUCCACCGCCACCAUGAACCAUCACUCUCCUUGGUCUCUUCUCUUUGACCUGCACACGACCGCAGAUGCUUCUGGUGGUGUGUGGCGACGCGGCCGAUCGAGGGAACCGGGGUGAGGCGGACUGUGUCUCGUUCGUGGAUCUGCCCCCAUCUUCUGUUCCUCCUCUCAGAAUGUCAUGUUCGCAGUUACUGCGACACACAAUGCUAUCCUCUUUUGCAGCGGUGCCUAUAGGUGACAACAAUGGUGUUCUCAUGUGCCCUGUUGUACCCCUCCACACUUGAGGCCGCCGAGGAGAAGAUCACGCUCCCUGUGGAAAAUUCGGCCAUGUUCUAAGUGGCUAACCGGCAAGGGUUGGACGACAUAAUGCCAACGACCUCACCCUAGGAGUCCACUUCACGGUCAUGGCAUCCGCCUCUACCAAUUAUCUAGAGGAGUUAAGUUCCAGAGACGAAUGGGGAGGUCAACUUUGAGAUGCAGCACUGUAUGUGUUCACGCAAUCGGAAUGGCCGAAAUAUCAUGCCAAUAUGAGGGACAUCCGAAAUAUCAAGCCAAUAUGCGUUUUAUGCCUUUCCUGUUAGAUAUGGAUGUUAAGCUAUGAGGAGAACCUUAUUGGCUCGGACAUCAUAUUUUUUAGAGGAAUGUUAGCUUGAGUACCAUACAGAGGGUGACGCAAGUGGUACUUGACAUACCAUGGCGUCCAAUGUCUAGGUUAGCAGACCCACAUGAUGUUUUGCUCUUUGCGUUCUGUACAUCAGCAAUGGACAAGAGCAAUGAUGGAGUCCUAAGAAAGAACCCAAAAAUAACUGCACUGUCUUAUUCACAUUUGAGGGCAAAACUACUUCAAGGAAUGAGGUUAAGCAAAGAUCGGUGCUCAAGAUGUUACGAGACACUUCUCAUGCAUGUUGAUAUUCUCCUUUUUUGAGUUUCCUUUAAGGUGCAGUAUUUUGUUUUAUUUGUUAUACAAAAUAGUGCAGCUGUUUGUGAUUUGAUAUGAAGGCAUGUAAUUCCUUGGAAAACUCCCACACUAUAUUUUGAUCCAAGUUCAGUUGUACUGAUGUCGAUUAAUACAUUUACAGUACAUUAUUAA
This is a long non-coding RNA of Hordeum vulgare subsp. vulgare (domesticated barley), 1212 nucleotides long. RefSeq lists it as uncharacterized. The record is from RefSeq and is a predicted model, not a curated record. The transcript has 5 exons. NCBI's taxonomy places the organism in Eukaryota, Viridiplantae, Streptophyta, Magnoliopsida, Poales, Poaceae.